GACGAACGCUGGCGGCGUGCUUAACACAUGCAAGUCGAACGGAAAGGCCCUGCUUUUGUGGGGUGCUCGAGUGGCGAACGGGUGAGUAACACGUGAGUAACCUGCCCUUGACUUUGGGAUAACUUCAGGAAACUGGGGCUAAUACCGGAUAGGAGCUCCUGCUGCAUGGUGGGGGUUGGAAAGUUUCGGCGGUUGGGGAUGGACUCGCGGUUUAUCAGCUUGUUGGUGAGGUGGUGGCUUACCAAGGCUUUGACGGGUAGCCGGACUGAGAGGGUGACAGGCCACAUUGGGCCUGGGAUACGGCCCAGACUCAUACGGGCGGCAGGAGUGGGGAAUAUUGCAAACUGGGCGGAAGCCUGAUGCAGCAACGCCGCGUGCGGGAUGACGGCUUUCGGGUUGUAAACCGCUUUCGCCUGUGACGAAGCGUGAGUGACGGUAAUGGGUAAAGAAGCACCGGCUAACUACGU
This 467-nucleotide ribosomal RNA is filed under the name uncultured bacterium. RNAcentral describes it as "partial 16S ribosomal RNA". It matches the Rfam family "Bacterial small subunit ribosomal RNA", at positions 28 to 506 of the family's 1533-position model. The record is from RNAcentral.